Molecule: ribosomal RNA, 844 nt
Filed under: Rothia dentocariosa
Lineage: Bacteria; Bacillati; Actinomycetota; Actinomycetes; Micrococcales; Micrococcaceae
Also listed under: 1 other name
Description: bacterial SSU rRNA
Rfam family: Bacterial small subunit ribosomal RNA
Source: RNAcentral
CCGCGUGAGGGUGACGGCCUUCGGGUUGUAAACCUCUGUUAGCAUCGAAGAAGCGAAAGUGACGGUAGGUGCAGAGAAAGCGCCGGCUAACUACGUGCCAGCAGCCGCGGUAAUACGUAGGGCGCGAGCGUUGUCCGGAAUUAUUGGGCGUAAAGAGCUUGUAGGCGGUUGGUCGCGUCUGCUGUGAAAGGCUGGGGCUUAACCCUGGUUUUGCAGUGGGUACGGGCUAACUAGAGUGCAGUAGGGGAGACUGGAAUUCCUGGUGUAGCGGUGGAAUGCGCAGAUAUCAGGAGGAACACCGAUGGCGAAGGCAGGUCUCUGGGCUGUAACUGACGCUGAGAAGCGAAAGCAUGGGGAGCGAACAGGAUUAGAUACCCUGGUAGUCCAUGCCGUAAACGUUGGGCACUAGGUGUGGGGGACAUUCCACGUUUUCCGCGCCGUAGCUAACGCAUUAAGUGCCCCGCCUGGGGAGUACGGCCGCAAGGCUAAAACUCAAAGAAAUUGACGGGGGCCCGCACAAGCGGCGGAGCAUGCGGAUUAAUUCGAUGCAACGCGAAGAACCUUACCAAGGCUUGACAUAUACUGGACUGCGUCAGAGAUGGCGUUUCCCUUCGGGGCUGGUAUACAGGUGGUGCAUGGUUGUCGUCAGCUCGUGUCGUGAGAUGUUGGGUUAAGUCCCGCAACGAGCGCAACCCUCGUUCUAUGUUGCCAGCACGUGAUGGUGGGGACUCAUAGGAGACUGCCGGGGUCAACUCGGAGGAAGGUGGGGGAUGACGUCAAAUCAUCAUGCCCCUUAUGUCUUGCGCUUCACGCAUGCUACAAUGGCCGGUACAGAGGGUUGCGA